Molecule: long non-coding RNA, 1402 nt
Filed under: Apteryx rowi (Okarito brown kiwi)
Lineage: Eukaryota; Metazoa; Chordata; Aves; Apterygiformes; Apterygidae
Description: lncRNA (ENSARWG00000002427.1)
Source: RNAcentral
AUGGGCUGCUCUGUUUGUCUGAGGCUUCUGAACACGCGUCUCUGUGUCUGUGCUUCUGGGACAUGUCAUGCUUCCUGGCUCUGGGCUGCAGAGCCGAUCUCCCACAUGAGCCUCCAGGACUCUGCAGAGCUCCCCGCUACCUUUGCCAUGUGUCCAAAUCUGGACAAAUGCAGAAAGUUUCCAAAUUCCACCUGGAGAAAACUCCUCAUGAGAAAGGAGAAAAUUUAUCAUCAGAAAGGAGGAUAUGUACCCUAAAAUUGGAUGCGUGGAAACCUUCUGGCCAGUGCUUUCAGUAAAGCUUUCUCUGAAAUACCUUGCAUCAUGGACUUGGCCACAAUGGGCCAAACURUGCACUUGCACAUUCCUGCGUCGCUGAGUCUGGAGUCCAUGGGAGCCCAGCGCCUUUGGGAAAGUUUCUGUUCUAUUAAUGUUUCAACCAGCAGAUGGUUUCUCCAGUUUCCCUGCUAGAUUUUUUUUUUUUUCCCCGAGCAGCCUGGUGAGGGUAGAAAAAUGUCCCUUUCUUUAAACCCUUCCCAAUGACACAUAUAAUAAUGCUGGUGCAUUCUUACUGAGAGAGUUUUUUAUUGUUAUUAUUUGUAAUGUGGUAAUUCACUGGAGUGUAGAAAAUGCUGCUGUUGGAAAUAUUUUCAGUUGAAGUUCUUAAUGCUGUUCUGUGCUUGUAAUAAUACAUUAGCUCUGAUGUGUGUUAGCUUGUUCUGAAGCUUAACAGGAGUCUUCUUCUUUGAACAUAUCUGAGAAGCUAUCAAAUCAUCUUUUAGCUGAAAGUUGACAAACCUCCUUGGAAAAGGAGUUUGUGGCCUGACUGUUACUAGUCUCAGUCUUAGUACUCUUCACAGCAUUGAGCUAACCUUGUGGAGAGCUGGGGCAGAUCCCAGGUGUUAAUCCUGGUAGCCCUUUCAGUGUGUGAAGCUGCACCAACUGAAGCCCUGCCCAGCUGACAUGCUAACCCUUACUAACGGCAUACUUACUGAGUGGGAAAAAUGGUUGCUUGUCCUCAACUUCCGACUGCACUUGGGAGUUAUUCAGGUAGGAGAUGGGACGGGAUCUUUCCUAGCUUGCCCCAUGCCUACAGCCUCCGAGCUGAACGAGAUGGCGUCACUUCCAGGGCCAGGGCAGUGAUUUGGGAAGGGACAUCUCCACCCUGAUAUCUGCUCUGCCCAGGAACCUCGAGGGGCCUUCUGCUUUCUGGGUCAGGCAUCAUGUUUGCAGGGGAGCUGCUCUCAUUUCCCAAUGUUGCCAGCUCUGAGACCAACACAUCCGUAACCACUUCAGGAUGCCCAAAGCCAUGUGGUCAAAGGGUUGCUUUUGUUAUGUAGCCUUGUGGGUGUUCAUAAGGCUUUUCAGACAAAUAAAAAGAGAAGAUCCCUGCCCUGAGUAUGCA